CUUUCCUUCGGGACAGAGGAGACAGGUGGUGCAUGGUUGUCGUCAGCUCGUGUCGUGAGAUGUUGGGUUAAGUCCCGCAACGAGCGCAACCCUUAUGCUUAGUUGCCAGCAGGUCAAGCUGGGCACUCUAAGCAGACUGCCGGUGACAAACCGGAGGAAGGUGGGGAUGACGUCAAAUCAUCAUGCCCCUUAUGACCUGGGCUACACACGUACUACAAUGGCCGGUACAACGGGAAGCGAA
This 241-nucleotide ribosomal RNA is filed under the name Paenibacillus sp. EKM205P. RNAcentral describes it as "partial 16S ribosomal RNA". It matches the Rfam family "Bacterial small subunit ribosomal RNA", at positions 1013 to 1253 of the family's 1533-position model. The record is from RNAcentral. Lineage: Bacteria; Bacillati; Bacillota; Bacilli; Caryophanales; Paenibacillaceae.